Molecule: ribosomal RNA, 618 nt
Filed under: uncultured bacterium
Lineage: Bacteria
Description: bacterial SSU rRNA
Rfam family: Bacterial small subunit ribosomal RNA
Source: RNAcentral
CCUACGGGAGGCAGCAGUGGGGAAUAUUGGACAAUGGGCGCAAGCCUGAUCCAGCCAUGCCGCGUGGGUGAAGAAGGCCUUCGGGUUGUAAAGCCCUUUUGUCCGGAAAGAAAAGCUUCGGGCUAAUACCCCGGGGUCCUGACGGUACCGGAAGAAUAAGCACCGGCUAACUUCGUGCCAGCAGCCGCGGUAAUACGAAGGGUGCAAGCGUUACUCGGAAUUACUGGGCGUAAAGCGUGCGUAGGUGGUUUGUUAAGUCUGAUGUGAAAGCCCUGGGCUCAACCUGGGAAUUGCAUUGGAUACUGGCAGGCUAGAGUGCGGUAGAGGAUGGCGGAAUUCCCGGUGUAGCAGUGAAAUGCGUAGAGAUCGGGAGGAACAUCUGUGGCGAAGGCGGCCAUCUGGACCAGCACUGACACUGAGGCACGAAAGCGUGGGGAGCAAACAGGAUUAGAUACCCUGGUAGUCCACGCCCUAAACGAUGCGAACUGGAUGUUGGGAGCAACUAGGCUCUCAGUAUCGAAGCUAACGCGUUAAGUUCGCCGCCUGGGGAGUACGGUCGCAAGCUGAAACUCAAAGGAUUGACGGCNGAGAGNGCGACGACGACGACGAGGGAGGAGG